UAAGAGUAUAAAAAAGAGAGAUAUAUUGACGCAUAUCCCUCAAUUGUAAAACCGUUUAAGAUGGUGACAAAAUUUUAGAUUAUUAAAAA
This 89-nucleotide small RNA is filed under the name Melissococcus plutonius ATCC 35311. RNAcentral's name for it is "RNA anti-toxin A". It matches the Rfam family "RNA anti-toxin A". Lineage: Bacteria; Bacillati; Bacillota; Bacilli; Lactobacillales; Enterococcaceae. The record is from Rfam by way of RNAcentral.